AGAAUCAACGCUGGCGGCGUGCCUAACACAUGCAAGUCGAACGAGAAAGUGGAGCAAUCCAUGAGUAAAGUGGCGACCGGGUGAGUAACACGUGACUAACCUACCCUUGAAUGGGGAAUAACCUUCCGAAAAGGAGGGCUAAUACCGCAUAAAGUCCUAAGGAUGAAACGCCUAGGGACCAAAGGAGUAAUUCGUUAAGGAGGGGGUCGCGGUUGAUUAGCUAGUUGGUGGGUAAUGGCCCACAAGGCGAUGAUCAAUA
Molecule: ribosomal RNA, 259 nt
Filed under: uncultured bacterium
Lineage: Bacteria
Description: partial small subunit ribosomal RNA
Rfam family: Bacterial small subunit ribosomal RNA
Source: RNAcentral